Molecule: non-coding RNA, 29 nt
Filed under: Homo sapiens (human)
Lineage: Eukaryota; Metazoa; Chordata; Mammalia; Primates; Hominidae
Source: RNAcentral
UGGGUGAUCCUGGCUUCUGCUCUGGGAAA